This is a small nucleolar RNA of Nymphaea colorata (pocket water lily), 83 nucleotides long. RefSeq annotates it as small nucleolar RNA SNORD34. The record is from RefSeq and is a predicted model, not a curated record. Lineage: Eukaryota; Viridiplantae; Streptophyta; Magnoliopsida; Nymphaeales; Nymphaeaceae. The transcript has a single exon.
UGUGGCCAAUGAUGAUGUUAAAAUGAUGCCUACAUUGGUUGAUUAUUUGCAUGAGAACAUAAUCAUUUUGUUCUGAGGCCAUU